GCCACGAGAUGGCGUUUAAAUAAAAUAGUUCGGUUACAGUUCAUGAGUUCAUGGCGUGAAUAAAAUAGUUCAAUUACACUUAAAUAGGUCUGUUACAUACAUAAUUUAUUGCUGGAAAACUAAUUCUGGCUACUUAUAUUGUUCUUCAUACAUCAUUAUGAGUGCAAUAUGCACCCCAUAAUUUUUUGUAACUCAUUACAUCUUUAGACGUCACCGAGAUGAGUGAAGUGUGCUAGAAGAGUAAGGGAAAGUCGGAAAGUUUUAUCUUAUCUGCUGUCCAAGAUUUUCCCAACAAGUCUAAUAUUGGCCAUUAUUGUACUCUUGAGUUAUGCUGUAAUUGGUUUCCGUUUCCUGUAUGACGUCAUAAUCACGGGAAGGGGCAUUGCUUGGAUGUUUUAUGGAACAAAGUACCUUAUUGAAGUCUUAGAACAAAAAGAUGAAAGUCCCGAUAGGAAUGCAUUUUUUGAUCCGCCAAGACAGAGAUUUGAUCGUAAAUAUUACAGAAGGCAAAGAUGCAUUGAACUUGAAUCAGAAUAAAUGAAAAUAGCUUAAUAUUUAGUGGUCUAUAAGAUAUUCGCCAAAUAUUUCCUAAGAAAUAAUAUAGAUUAGCAAUAAAAUUUUCU
Stegodyphus dumicola is the source of this 623-nucleotide long non-coding RNA. RefSeq lists it as uncharacterized. Lineage: Eukaryota; Metazoa; Arthropoda; Arachnida; Araneae; Eresidae. The record is from RefSeq and is a predicted model, not a curated record.